AGUGAACGCUGGCGGUAGGCCUAACACAUGCAAGUCGAACGGCAGCACAGUAAGAGCUUGCUCUUACGGGUGGCGAGUGGCGGACGGGUGAGGAAUACAUCGGAAUCUACUUUUUCGUGGGGGAUAACGUAGGGAAACUUACGCUAAUACCGCAUACGACCUACGGGUGAAAGCAGGGGAUCUUCGGACCUUGCGCGAUUGAAUGAGCCGAUGUCGGAUUAGCUAGUUGGCGUGGUAAAGGCCCACCAAGGCGACGAUCCGUAGCUGGUCUGAGAGGAUGAUCAGCCACACUGGAACUGAGACACGGUCCAGACUCCUACGGGAGGCAGCAGUGGGGAAUAUUGGACAAUGGGCGCAAGCCUGAUCCAGCCAUACCGCGUGGGUGAAGAAGGCCUUCGGGUUGUAAAGCCCUGUUGUUGGGAAAGAAAAGCAGCAGGUUAAUACCCCGCUGUUCUGACGGUACCCAAAGAAUAAGCACCGGCUAACUUCGUG
This 492-nucleotide ribosomal RNA is filed under the name uncultured bacterium. RNAcentral's name for it is "partial 16S ribosomal RNA". It matches the Rfam family "Bacterial small subunit ribosomal RNA", at positions 29 to 507 of the family's 1533-position model. The record is from RNAcentral.